RNAcentral lists this ribosomal RNA (449 nucleotides) under uncultured bacterium. RNAcentral's name for it is "partial 16S ribosomal RNA". It matches the Rfam family "Bacterial small subunit ribosomal RNA", at positions 28 to 523 of the family's 1533-position model. The record is from RNAcentral.
GAUAAACGCUGGCGGCAUGCCUGACACAUGCAAGUCGAACGAGACCUUCAGGUCUAGUGGCGCACGGGUGCGUAACGCGUGGGAACCUGCCUUUAGGUUCGGAAUAACUCAGAGAAAUUUGAGCUAAUACCGGAUAAUGUCUUCGGACCAAAGAUUUAUCGCCUUUAGAUGGGCCCGCGUUGGAUUAGCUAGUUGGUGGGGUAAAGGCCUACCAAGGCGACGAUCCAUAGCUGGUCCGAGAGGAUGAUCAGCCACACUGGGACUGAGACACGGCCCAGACUCCUACGGGAGGCAGCAGUGGGGAAUAUUGGACAAUGGGCGAAAGCCUGAUCCAGCAAUGCCGCGUGAGUGAUGAAGGCCUUAGGGUUGUAAAGCUCUUUUACCCGAGAUGAGAAUGACAGUAUCGGGAGAAUAAGCUCCGGCUAACUCCGUGCCAGCCGCCGCUGUAA